GAUGAACGCUGGCGGCGUGCCUAAUACGUGCAAGUCGAGCGAACGGACGAGAAGCUUGCUUCUCUGAUGUUAGCGGCGGACGGGUGAGUAACACGUGGAUAACCUACCUAUAAGACUGGGAUAACUUCGGGAAACCGGAGCUAAUACCGGAUAAUAUUUUGAACCGCAUGGUUCAAAAGUGAAAGACGGUCUUGCUGUCACUUAUAGAUGGAUCCGCGCUGCAUUAGCUAGUUGGUAAGGUAACGGCUUACCAAGGCAACGAUGCAUAGCCGACCUGAGAGGGUGAUCGGCCACACUGGAACUGAGACACGGUCCAGACUCCUACGGGAGGCAGCAGUAGGGAAUCUUCCGCAAUGGGCGAAAGCCUGACGGAGCAACACCGCGUGAGUGAUGAAGGUCUUCGGAUCGUAAAACUCUGUUAUUAGGGAAGAACAUAUGUGUAAGUAACUGUGCACAUCUUGACGGUACCUAAUCAGAAAGCCACGGCUAACUACGUG
RNAcentral lists this ribosomal RNA (497 nucleotides) under uncultured bacterium. Its description in RNAcentral is "partial 16S ribosomal RNA". It matches the Rfam family "Bacterial small subunit ribosomal RNA", at positions 28 to 507 of the family's 1533-position model. The record is from RNAcentral.